Molecule: ribosomal RNA, 163 nt
Filed under: Orbiliaceae sp.
Lineage: Eukaryota; Fungi; Ascomycota; Orbiliomycetes; Orbiliales; Orbiliaceae
Description: partial large subunit ribosomal RNA
Rfam family: Eukaryotic large subunit ribosomal RNA
Source: RNAcentral
CGGCAACAGCUCAAAUUUGAAAUCUGCCCGCAAGGGCCGAGUUGUAAUUUGUAGAGGAUGUUUCGGUUGCGGCCCUGGCCUAAGUUCCUUGGAACAGGACGUCAUGGAGGGUGAGAAUCCCGUACAUGGCUGAGGGCUUGCUUCUAUGUGAAACCCCUUCGAA